AUGGCCUGGGUGUCCUUCUACCUCCUGCCCCUCAUGGUCUCCUCAGGUCUCUGUGCUGUGCCUGUGCUGACCCAGGCCCCUUCUGCAUCUGCCUCCCUGGGAGCCUCGGUCAAGCUGACCUGCACCCUGAGCAGGGAGCAGCGCUCCUACAUCAUUCAAUGGUUUCAAAAGCUGCCAGAGAGGGCCCCACGGAAUGUGAUUUAUGUGAAGAGUGAUGGAAGCAUCGUAAAGGAGCAGGGGAUCCCCGAUCGCUUCUCAGGCUCCAGCUCAGGGGCUGACCGCUACUUGACCAUCUCCAACAUCCAGCCUGAGGACGAGGCUGAGUAUUACUGUGGCACAGGCAAUUAUAUUGGGCUCAGGGUGAGCUACUCAGGGUGA
Molecule: non-coding RNA, 378 nt
Organism: Talpa occidentalis (Iberian mole)
Lineage: Eukaryota; Metazoa; Chordata; Mammalia; Eulipotyphla; Talpidae
Source: the annotation of a RefSeq genome assembly